CAACCUGCUUUUUCAACAUAUUAACUCAGCCAGUAGAGUUAAUUUCUGCUUGUUUCUCUAUGGAUCAGAGUGUUAAUUUUCAACUCUGGGUUGUAAUGGCUUUUUCUUUUCAUUUUUGGAUCAUAGUUUUAUUGAUCACAAAGUCAAUUAGUCGGUUAAUUAUUUCUGUACUUUCUUCUUUUCUUUCUUUACCCGAGUAAUGCCUUCUUUGCUGUCAUUUCGUGGCUACGAUCAGGUCAGCCCUGUGUGAUACUUUAAAGGCCUCUGUGCACACAGCUGCUCUGACAAGCUGGGACUCAAACCGACAGCUCACUGGAAAGGCAUUCCUCGUCACACGUCUGAAGAGACCCAGAUUGACAGUUCACAGGUUCCAGUGCAAAGAUGGACUCUCAAUCUUCUUCAGCUGGCGAGGAUCUUGGCUAAUGCGGGGCGUGCAGAUGCCAGACAGCAAAGAGCCUGGAGGAACAAACAGGCCCAGCGAGCUCAUCAUGAGCCAUCAAAGCAGAAAUCUAGACUCGGUCAGAGGCAAAGAGGUGGAAGUGUUGUGGAUGUCUUGAGGCCCUUCACAAUGUGCUGACAUGUAGCCCUUCACAAUGUGUCUGUGGAUCUCCACCGACUCUCACCUGCCUCUGCCACUGCUGAAAUGUCUACAGGUGUGCCUGCGAUUCACGUGCUGCCACAGGCAGAUGGAAGACUUCAACAGAUAUGUCAAAUAGAUGAGGUGGUUGACAUAUGACAUAUCAGUCUGGAUACAGGGUUAGAAGCCAGCUGCUCAGGGAGUCAGAUGAGACCAUGGAUACACUGCAGGCAGGUGCUUCUGAGUUGGAAACAAAUGCUGCCGAGUUGAGGAGAAAGCACAGAUUGAAGACUUGCAAGGUGUGGGUUGUAGGGGUCAGCAUCCUGGUGAUCGCUGUCAUUAUCAUCCUGUGGUGUCUCUCAAUGAAGAAGGAGUGACAGCCAAGCAGGCUGUUCCAGCUUCAAGACUUUUGACUGAAAACUUGCUAUAUUACCAAGCUUACCCACUGCUAUUUCCAAAUGAUUGUUUUGGCUAGUUUACAUACAAUUCAGUGUCUAGGAAAUGUGCCUUUCUUUUUAUGCACACUCCAAACUGGAGGCAUGGCCCACAAGUUUUACAUAUCACCUUCACAGGUUUGUGGAUGGACUGGGAGAGAAGACUUCUGGUGCUCAGGAGCACUGAAAUCUAGACCAGACAUUGCCACAGGUGACUUGUUGGGGACUCCAGGAAGGGUAUUCCAGUGAUCAGUCACCUGAUGUCAUCUUCAGAACCACAUUUAAAGCUUUGGGUAAUUAGAUCCCUAACACAAACCCUUGACAACAGGGAGUGACUUAUCUAGAUACUCCCCUCAUUUUCCUUAAGAGAUUCUUUGUUGUAAGCAUUACAGACUUGGAGUUAAGACUCCUGUAAAAGAGCUUGUGCUGUUACAUUAGAUAAGAGGUUUCUUGCUGUUAUGUACUACUUGCUAACAUAGUAUUUUGACCAGAAAGAGGUUCUUUAAAAUAUUCUUUAUAGAACUAUGACCAAAGUUUCUAUUUUUCCAAAAUACAAUUUGUUAAAUACAA
This is a long non-coding RNA of Peromyscus californicus insignis, 1581 nucleotides long. RefSeq lists it as uncharacterized. The record is from RefSeq and is a predicted model, not a curated record. The transcript is spliced from 3 exons. Lineage: Eukaryota; Metazoa; Chordata; Mammalia; Rodentia; Cricetidae.